UGGGGAAUAUUGCACAAUGGGCGCAAGCCUGAUGCAGCCAUGCCGCGUGUAUGAAGAAGGCCCUCGGGUUGUAAAGUACUUUCAGUCGGGAGGAAGGUGGUAAGGUUAAUAACCUUAUCAAUUGACGUUACCGACAGAAGAAGCACCGGCUAACUCCGUGCCAGCAGCCGCGGUAAUACGGAGGGUGCAAGCGUUAAUCGGAAUUACUGGGCGUAAAGCGCACGCAGGCGGUUGAUUGAGUCAGAUGUGAAAUCCCCGGGCUUAACCCGGGAAUUGCAUCUGAUACUGGUCAGCUAGAGUCUUGUAGAGGGGGGUAGAAUUCCAUGUGUAGCGGUGAAAUGCGUAGAGAUGUGGAGGAAUACCGGUGGCGAAGGCGGCCCCCUGGACAAAGACUGACGCUCAGGUGCGAAAGCGUGGGGAGCAAACAGG
RNAcentral lists this ribosomal RNA (429 nucleotides) under Chloroflexota bacterium. RNAcentral describes it as "Chloroflexi bacterium partial 16S ribosomal RNA". It matches the Rfam family "Bacterial small subunit ribosomal RNA", at positions 355 to 776 of the family's 1533-position model. The record is from RNAcentral. Lineage: Bacteria; Bacillati; Chloroflexota.